Oncorhynchus tshawytscha (Chinook salmon) is the source of this 503-nucleotide long non-coding RNA. Lineage: Eukaryota; Metazoa; Chordata; Actinopteri; Salmoniformes; Salmonidae. The record is from Ensembl.
CUUGGGUUGUUGUGUUGAGGGCUUGGUAGGUGGAGUCUUGGGUUGUUGUGUUGAGGGCUUGGUAGGUGGAGUCUUGGGUUGUUGUGUUGAGGGCUUGGUAGGUGGAGUCUUGGGUUGUUGUGUUGAGGGCUUGGUUGGUGGAGUCCUGGGUUGUUGUGUUGAGGGUUUGGUUGGUGGAGUCUUGGGUUGUUGUGUCUGGAUUGGUAACUCGAACACAACAUAUAAAUCAUGUGUGUGCACGUGGAGUGGUGUAGUAGUGUAGUGGUGUAUUAGUGUAGUGUUACCUUGUGUUCCAGUCAUGUCUGUGGUAGUGGUGAUGUUGUUACCUUGUGUUCCAGUCAUGUCUGUGGUGGUGAUGUUGUUGUUAACUUGUGUUCUAGUCAUGUCUGUGGUGGUGAUGCUGUUGUUACCUUUUGUUCCAGUCAUGUCUGUGGUAGUGGUGAUGUUGUUACCUUGUGUUCUAGCCCUGUCUGUGGUGAUGAUGUCGUUACCUUGUGUUCUAG